Molecule: long non-coding RNA, 820 nt
Organism: Helianthus annuus (common sunflower)
Lineage: Eukaryota; Viridiplantae; Streptophyta; Magnoliopsida; Asterales; Asteraceae
Exons: 4
Source: RefSeq, a predicted model, not a curated record
UCGCUCGAUUCGUCCUAUUACAGAGGUACAAAGAAGUUGGACUCGACACCAGCGUUUUGACUAGAGUUGAAUAUGGGAGUAGAAGUUCACGAGCUGGCUGCUAAAGGUCCAAUGCUACAGCCUACAGGUAAGUAAUUAAUAGAUUUCUUCAUUUCAUUAUUAGAGAGGUUCAUUUCUUUUCAUUAAUCAUGUUGACAAGAGGACAUCAUUGACUUACAUGUAUGAUUGUGGUAACUAACUGACUGAGAACAACUAGAGGUGAUCUCAAAGCGAGUUUGAGCCUUUGUGGACGCAAAAAAGAUAUGAAAAAGGAAGUUCCUGUGUUGAUCGAUAAGUUUCCAGAAUGUGGGUUGCGAUCUUUGGCUAUUGCAAAACAGGUGUUCAACUUGAUAUUGCUAAGAAGACUGGUAGACGACUUGGUAUGAGACAAACAUGUACCCUUCUUCUUUACUUGGUGGCCACAAGGAUUUAUCUAUAGCAACUUUUUGUAUUCAAGAGUUCAUUGAGAAAGCUCAUGGAUUUUGAUGAAAACCAAAAGCUCACAUUGAAAUUGAUAUUGCUCAUGCUAUAUAUGAUGCUAUCAUGGUGCAGACAAUAUUUGGUGACAAUGGCGAAUCUCCUAUAUUUGUUGUAAAGUGGUGGAUCUGUUUGAGAGAGGCCAUGUAUAUAUAUAUAUUUUAGUUUUUGAAUAUUUGCUCUGCAAUUAAAUAGUCAAUAUUACUAUUUUUAUACUAUUUUGGUAUUCACGCUCGGUUGGGAAAACAUAUGUAUUGUUAUUAGAUUGAGAAUCGUUUAUAUUGAAGCCCACACAUACUAUAUU